GAUGAAGAACGUAGCGAAAUGCGAUAAGUAAUGCGAAUUGCAGAAUUCCGUGAGUCAUCGAAUCUUUGAACGCACAUUGCGCCCGCUAGUAUUCUGGCGGGCAUGCCUGUCCGAGCGUCAUUUCAACCCUCAAGCCCCCGGGCUUGGUGUUGGGGAUCGGCGAGCCUCCGCGCCCGCCGUCCCCUAAAUCUAGUGGCGGUCUCGCUGUAGCUUCCUCUGCGUAGUAGCACACCUCGCACUGGGAAACAGCGCGGCCACGCCGUUAAACCCCCAACUUCUGAACGUUUGACCUCGGAUCAGGUAGGAAUACCCGCUGAACUUAAGCAUAUCAAUAAGCGGAGGA
This 343-nucleotide unclassified non-coding RNA is filed under the name soil metagenome. RNAcentral describes it as "partial contains 5.8S ribosomal RNA, internal transcribed spacer 2, and large subunit ribosomal RNA". The stretch from base 1 to 120 matches the Rfam family "5.8S ribosomal RNA", at positions 35 to 154 of the family's 154-position model. The record is from RNAcentral.